Molecule: ribosomal RNA, 253 nt
Filed under: uncultured bacterium
Lineage: Bacteria
Description: partial 16S ribosomal RNA
Rfam family: Bacterial small subunit ribosomal RNA
Source: RNAcentral
UACAGAGGUCCCAAGCGUUGUUCGGAUUCACUGGGCGUAAAGGGUGCGUAGGCGGUCGGGUAAGUCUGACGUGAAAUCUCCGAGCUUAACUCGGAAAGGUCAACUGAUACUGUGCGACUAGAGUGCGGAAGGGGCAACUGGAAUUCUUGGUGUAGCGGUGAAAUGCGUAGAUAUCUGGAGGAACACCGGUGGCGAAGGCGGCAUCCUGGACCGGUAUUGACGCUGAGGAGCGAAAGCCAGGGGAGCAAACAGG